Molecule: ribosomal RNA, 253 nt
Filed under: uncultured bacterium
Lineage: Bacteria
Description: partial 16S ribosomal RNA
Rfam family: Bacterial small subunit ribosomal RNA
Source: RNAcentral
UACAGAGGGUGCGAGCGUUAAUCGGAAUUACUGGGCGUAAAGCGUGCGUAGACGGUUAUUUAAGUCGGGUGUGAAAGCCCCGGGCUCAACCUGGGAAUUGCAUUCGAGACUGAAUAGCUAGAGUACGGUAGAGGGAAGUGGAAUUUCCGGUGUAGCGGUGAAAUGCGUAGAUAUCGGAAGGAACAUCAGUGGCGAAAGCGACUUCCUGGACCAGUACCGACGUUCAGGCACGAAAGCGUGGGGAGCAAACAGG